This 407-nucleotide ribosomal RNA is filed under the name uncultured bacterium. Its description in RNAcentral is "partial 16S ribosomal RNA". It matches the Rfam family "Bacterial small subunit ribosomal RNA", at positions 29 to 526 of the family's 1533-position model. The record is from RNAcentral.
AUUGAACGCUGGCGGCAGGCCUAACACAUGCAAGUCGAGCGGAGCGGCGGACGGGUGAGUAAUGCCUAGGAAUCUGCCUGGUAGUGGGGGAUAACGUCAGGAAACGGGAGCUAAUACCGCACACUAUCAGAUGAGCCUAGGUCGGAUUGGCUAGUUGGUGGGGUAAAGGCCUACCAAGGCGACGAUCCGUAACUGGUCUGAGAGGAUGAGAAGUCACACUGGAACUGAGGCACGGUGCAGAGUCCCACGGGAGGCAGCAGUGGGGAAGAGGGGAAAAUGGGCGAAAGCCUGAUCCAGCCAUGCCGCGUGUGUGAAGAAGGGCUUCGGGUUGUAAAGCACUUAAAGUUGGGAGGCGUUACCAGCAGAAUAAGCACCGGCUAACUUCGUGCCAGCAGCCGCGGUAAUAC